This 207-nucleotide ribosomal RNA is filed under the name Triticum aestivum (bread wheat). RNAcentral's name for it is "partial small subunit ribosomal RNA". Lineage: Eukaryota; Viridiplantae; Streptophyta; Magnoliopsida; Poales; Poaceae. The record is from RNAcentral.
AUGGGAGUGCUUGCAUGUGUUUACUCCUCAGAUACCGGCGUAUGGGAUAAUCUCAUCUCGGCAGUGAUUCCAUUCGAUGCGUAUACCACGAUAUGUAUUUUUGCCGUGUGUUUUACGGGCAUGUCGGCUCUGCUGGUUGGGAAUUCCCUUUACUGGCGUCUUGGUGGGUGUCUGGAUGCAGUUCUCGAGUUUGAUUUGGAGAGGUAG